This 587-nucleotide ribosomal RNA is filed under the name Trichoderma virens. RNAcentral describes it as "eukaryotic LSU rRNA". The stretch from base 201 to 354 matches the Rfam family "5.8S ribosomal RNA". Lineage: Eukaryota; Fungi; Ascomycota; Sordariomycetes; Hypocreales; Hypocreaceae. The record is from RNAcentral.
CCGAGUUUACAACUCCCAAACCCAAUGUGAACGUUACCAAACUGUUGCCUCGGCGGGAUCUCUGCCCCGGGUGCGUCGCAGCCCCGGACCAAGGCGCCCGCCGGAGGACCAACCAAAACUCUUAUUGUAUACCCCCUCGCGGGUUUUUUACUAUCUGAGCCAUCUCGGCGCCCCUCGUGGGCGUUUCGAAAAUGAAUCAAAACUUUCAACAACGGAUCUCUUGGUUCUGGCAUCGAUGAAGAACGCAGCGAAAUGCGAUAAGUAAUGUGAAUUGCAGAAUUCAGUGAAUCAUCGAAUCUUUGAACGCACAUUGCGCCCGCCAGUAUUCUGGCGGGCAUGCCUGUCCGAGCGUCAUUUCAACCCUCGAACCCCUCCGGGGGGUCGGCGUUGGGGAUCGGCCCUUUACGGGGCCGGCCCCGAAAUACAGUGGCGGUCUCGCCGCAGCCUCUCCUGCGCAGUAGUUUGCACACUCGCAUCGGGAGCGCGGCGCGUCCACAGCCGUUAAACACCCCAAACUUCUGAAAUGUUGACCUCGGAUCAGGUAGGAAUACCCGCUGAACUUAAGCAUAUCAAAAGCCGGGAGGAAA